CACAGCCGCGGUAAUACGUAGGGUGCGAGCGUUAAUCGGAUUUACUGGGGGUAAAGCGUGCGCAGGCGGCCCGUUAAGACAGGUGUGAAAUCCCUGGGCUCAACCUAGGAAUUGCGCUUGUGACUGGCGGGCUCGAGUACGGUAGAGGGGGGUGGAAUUCCUGGUGUAGCAGUGAAAUGCGUAGAGAUCAGGAGGAACACCGAUGGCGAAGGCAGCCCCCUGGGCCUGUACUGACGCUCAUGCACGAAAGCGUGGGGAGCAAACAGGAUUAGAGACCCCAGUAGUCCCUGUCUCUUAUACC
This 301-nucleotide ribosomal RNA is filed under the name uncultured bacterium. Its description in RNAcentral is "partial 16S ribosomal RNA". It matches the Rfam family "Bacterial small subunit ribosomal RNA", at positions 510 to 808 of the family's 1533-position model. The record is from RNAcentral.